Molecule: long non-coding RNA, 726 nt
Filed under: Pan troglodytes (chimpanzee)
Lineage: Eukaryota; Metazoa; Chordata; Mammalia; Primates; Hominidae
Description: lncRNA (ENSPTRG00000053097.1)
Source: RNAcentral
GUGGUCUCUCAGAAAGCUGAGCAUGUUGCUGCUCUGAGAAAAUUCAUGGCUCAGUUAUUAGAGUAGGAGGAAGGGUAAAUGUAGGCACACAGGUAGAAUUUUCUGUUAGAAGGGCGGAAAAAUGAGACAGAACCUCCCUGUCCUCAUGCGGCUCACAGGGGAGAUGCAAGUUAAUGGAAGAACUACAUCCACACAAAUAAAAUCACCACUAGGGUAAGCGGGAUGAGAGCCUGUUGUAAAGAGAUUUGGGAACUGACCAGAGAUAUAACUGCAGAGGAGGAGAAGGAGGGUGGAGGGAGAAGGAAGCACUUCCCAAGAGCAGAGAAAGGUAGGACUCAGACCAGACUAGUGGGCCCCCAGCUGAGUUUUCUGAUGUGAAAGGGAAGCUCAGGCUGCUGAGGAUGCAGAGGCUGGCAGGGGUCUAUGACUAAGGUGUCAGCAGCCGAUGGGAGAUUUUGUUUCUCCAGGUUUAUCCCAGUCCUAAGCCCUUUCCCUGAGGAUCCCGUCAGCCUCCACUCAGGGGCUGGAGUGAAGUUCACAGUACUAAAGGACUCUCUGCCUCGGGCCCUUCCCUCUGCUUUCUUCCCAAUUCCAGGAUGCAAUUGUGCCACCCAGUAAUUUAUCCUCUUUGUGUAUGAUGCCCGAAUAACAUGCCUUUUGAAUGGUUCUGAUUAAAGGAUGAAGGAAUUGCAUUCUAUAAUUUGCGAAUUCAUAAUAUUCUCAAAG